GGCUGGGUAGCUCAGUUGGUUAGAGCACGGCACUCAUAAAGCCGGGGUCGUGGGUUCGAUUCCCACCUCAGCCA
Candidatus Giovannonibacteria bacterium is the source of this 74-nucleotide non-coding RNA. The record is from Rfam. Lineage: Bacteria; Candidatus Giovannoniibacteriota.